This is a long non-coding RNA of Apis dorsata (giant honeybee), 264 nucleotides long. RefSeq lists it as uncharacterized. The transcript is spliced from 2 exons. NCBI's taxonomy places the organism in Eukaryota, Metazoa, Arthropoda, Insecta, Hymenoptera, Apidae. The record is from RefSeq and is a predicted model, not a curated record.
AAUUUCAGAUCCCCCCUCCAAAAAAAAAAAAAAGAAAAACUGCAAGAUAGCAUUUUAAUUAAAAAGAACAGUGUGUGUAAGUACGUGUGUACGGUAAUUGAUAAAGGUAAAGAGCUACUAAAGAGGUAAUAGCAUUAACCCGUGCCAGCUGGAAUCUAAGGCAAGGAUACAUCGUGACUAAGGUUAAGAAGGUUCAUAGGAAACCUGGGGAACAAUGAUUUCAAGAAUAUUGUAAGAGUAUAAUAAAAUUUUAUUAGAAAAGUC